This is a long non-coding RNA of Antechinus flavipes (yellow-footed antechinus), 395 nucleotides long. RefSeq lists it as uncharacterized. The transcript has 2 exons. NCBI's taxonomy places the organism in Eukaryota, Metazoa, Chordata, Mammalia, Dasyuromorphia, Dasyuridae. The record is from RefSeq and is a predicted model, not a curated record.
CCCUUCCGGGAGCUGGGGUGGGGGACGGGAAGGGGAAAGUGGGGGGGAGGGCCACGGCUGCGGCAGAAGCGGGUUGUUCCAGGCGCAGAAUAGACUCCUGUUGCCAUGGAGAUGGGAGCGCGGGCCUGGGGAGGGAGGCAGGCUUCUGCAUAGCUCACCUGGCUUUACGGAUGUCGGGCUUCCGGAUCUCGGGACAGACGGGCUUAUCCUCCGCGCCCAGUCCUGCCCCCGACGGCCCCCUGCCUGCCCCUCCCUGUCGCCAAGUAUCUCGGUAUAGCCGCCACGCGUCUCUCGUCUCUGAGCAUCUCUAAAUCUCUGAGGACCCCCCCACCAGUUCCCAAUGGCCCCUUCCUCCCCCGCGCCCCCUCCCGUAAUCAAGAAUGGUUUCGUCCAUA